UACGAAGGGGGGCUAGCGUUGCUCGGAAUUACUGGGCGUAAAGCGCACGUAGGCGGCUCUUUAAGUCGGUGGUGAAAUCCUGGAGCUCAACUCCAGAACUGCCUUCGAUACUGAAGAGCUUGAGUCCGGGAGAGGUGAGUGGAACUGCGAGUGUAGAGGUGAAAUUCGUAGAUAUUCGCAAGAACACCAGUGGCGAAGGCGGCUCACUGGCCCGGUACUGACGCUGAGGUGCGAAAGCGUGGGGAGCAAACAGGG
This 255-nucleotide ribosomal RNA is filed under the name uncultured bacterium. Its description in RNAcentral is "partial 16S ribosomal RNA". It matches the Rfam family "Bacterial small subunit ribosomal RNA", at positions 524 to 777 of the family's 1533-position model. The record is from RNAcentral.